Molecule: ribosomal RNA, 467 nt
Filed under: uncultured bacterium
Lineage: Bacteria
Description: bacterial SSU rRNA
Rfam family: Bacterial small subunit ribosomal RNA
Source: RNAcentral
AGAGUUUGAUCAUGGCUCAGGAUGAACGCUGGCGGCGUGCCUAAUACAUGCAAGUCGAGCGGCAGCACGGUCUUCGGACUGGUGGCGAGCGGCGGACGGCUGAGUAACGCGUAGGAAUAUACCCCAAAGUGAGGGAUAACUGCCCGGAAGGGUGGCUAAUACCGCAUGUGGUCUUCGGACUAAAGCCUUCGGGCGCUUUGGGAAUAGCCUGCGUAAGAUUAGCUAGUUGGUGAGGUAAUGGCUCACCAAGGCGACGAUCUUUAGCUGGUCUGAGAGGAUGACCAGCCAGACUGGAACUGAGACACGGUCCAGACUCCUACGGGAGGCAGCAGUAGGGAAUUUUCCACAAUGGGCGAAAGCCUGAUGGAGCAACGCCGCGUGCAGGAUGAAGGCCCUCGGGUCGUAAACUGCUUUUAUGUGCGAAGAAUAUGACGGUAACACAUGAAUAAGGGUCGGCUAACUACGUG